RNAcentral lists this ribosomal RNA (484 nucleotides) under uncultured bacterium. RNAcentral describes it as "partial 16S ribosomal RNA". It matches the Rfam family "Bacterial small subunit ribosomal RNA", at positions 28 to 507 of the family's 1533-position model. The record is from RNAcentral.
AUUGAACGCUGGCGGCAUGCUUUACACAUGCAAGUCGAACGGCGGCGCGGGCUUCGGCCUGGCGGCUGGUGGCGAACGGGUGAGUAAUACAUCGGAACGUGCCCAGUAGUGGGGGAUAGCUCGGCGACAGCCGGAUUAAUACCGCAUACGACGUGAGGGUGGAAGCGGGGGAUCUUCGGACCUCGCGCGAUUGGGGCGGCCGAGGGCAGGUUAGCUAGGUGGUGGGGUUAAUGCCUACCAAGGCGACGAUCUGUAGCUGGUCUGAGAGGAAGACCAGCCACACUGGGACUGAGCCACGGCCCAGACUCCUACGGGAGGCAGCAGUGGGGAAUGUUGGACAAUGGGCGAAAGCCUGCUCCAGCAAUGCCGCGUGUGUGAUGAAGGCCUUCGGGUUGUAAAGCACUUUUGGCGGGAACGAAAAGGACUGUGCCAAUACCACGGUUCGAUGACGGUACCCGCAGAAUAAGCACCGGCUAACUACGUG